RNAcentral lists this ribosomal RNA (442 nucleotides) under uncultured bacterium. RNAcentral describes it as "partial 16S ribosomal RNA". It matches the Rfam family "Bacterial small subunit ribosomal RNA", at positions 338 to 795 of the family's 1533-position model. The record is from RNAcentral.
CCUACGGGAGGCUGCAGUGGGGAAUAUUGGGCAAUGGGCGCAAGCCUGACCCAGCAACGCCGCGUGAAGGAAGAAGGCUUUCGGGUUGUAAACUUCUUUUAAGAGAGAAGUGCAGAAGACGGUACCUCUUGAUUAAGCCACGUCUAACUACGUACCAGCAGCCGCGGUAAUACGUAGGAGGCAAGCGUUGUCCGGAUUUACUGGGUGAAAAGGGCGUGCAGCCGGGAAGACAAGUCAGGUGUGAAAUCCCGCGGCUCAACCGCGGAACUGCAAUUGAAACUGUCUUUCUUGAGUACCGUAGAGGUAAGCGGAAUUCCUUGUGUAGCGGUGAAAUGCGUAGAUAUAAGGAAGAACACCAGUGGCGAAGGCAGAUGACUGGACGGCAACUGACGGUGAGGCGCGAAAGCGUGGGGAGCAAACAGGAUUAGAUACCCGUGUAGUC